Eurytemora carolleeae is the source of this 706-nucleotide long non-coding RNA. RefSeq lists it as uncharacterized. The transcript has 3 exons. The record is from RefSeq and is a predicted model, not a curated record. Lineage: Eukaryota; Metazoa; Arthropoda; Copepoda; Calanoida; Temoridae.
CUUAUCGAAAAGAUUUAUUUUUAUUUUGCAUUGCUGUUUUUAAAUGGUGUAAACAUGGAAUAUGUCAAACUCAAAAUAUUUAAUCUAAUUUGAAAUCAAAGAUCCACACCAUCAGUUUGCAAAAAUAAAUAAGGAUAAGAAAAAAGAGGAUGUUGGUAUCAGUUCCUUUAUGCAGUAAAAAUAUUAUUCUCUGAAUAAAAAGACAUGGAAGGAAGAAAUCACCAAUGUUGAACGUGGAAUCAGGGAUCAAAUUUAAUAAAUAGCAAGAAUUAUUUAAACUACUUCGAAUGAGUUGAACCACUUCUUUUGUAUUUGAACCGGCGCAUGAGAGAAGUGAUUCAACUUAGACUAAGCAGGGACCGAAUUUAACAAAUUUGAGCUACGUUGCUGAACUACCAACUGCUGGAUCAAAUUUAAACCACCGAUUCAAAGUUCAAAUUUAUUAAAUUUGGUUCUAGUUUAACAAAACCAAGCUAUUUAUUAAAUUUGGAAACAGCAUGAUAAAUAUCAACCUUGAAAACAAACCGAUAUCUCCUCAAUUGAUAGAUAAAGAUUGGAUAAAGGGUGGUAUCCCUGUUCUAUCCUAUCCCUCUGCAGCCCUCUGCUUAUCUCUCAACUGUAUUCUACCAGGAUUGGGAACUGUUUUGUCUGGAUUGUUAGUUCUCUGUUGCUCUAACUGUGUGUCCCGUGUUGGUUGUCCCAGGUG